This 468-nucleotide ribosomal RNA is filed under the name uncultured bacterium. RNAcentral describes it as "partial 16S ribosomal RNA". It matches the Rfam family "Bacterial small subunit ribosomal RNA", at positions 28 to 507 of the family's 1533-position model. The record is from RNAcentral.
GACGAACGCUGGCGGCGUGCUUAACACAUGCAAGUCGAACGGAAAGGCCCUGCUUUUGUUUGGUGCUCGUGUGGCGAACGGGUGAGUAACACGUGAGUAUCCUGCCCUUGACUUUGGGAUAACUUCAGGAAACUGGGGCUAAUACCGGAUAGGAGCUCCUGCUGCAUGGUGGGGGUUGGAAAGUUUCGGCGGUUGGGGAUGGACUCGCGGCUUAUCAACUUGUUGGUGGGGUAGUGGCUUACCAAGGCUUUGACGGGUAGCCGGCCUGAGAGGGUGACCGGCCACAUUGGGACUGAGAUACGGCCCAGACUCCUACGGGAGGCAGCAGUGGGGAAUAUUGCACAAUGGGCGGAAGCCUGAUGCAGCAACGCCGCGUGCGGGAUGACGGCCUUCGGGCUGUAAACCGCUUUCGCCUGUGACGAAGCGUGAGUGACGGUAAUGGGUAAAGAAGCACCGGCUAACUACGUG